GGCCCUGUAGCUCAGUGGAAAGAGCGUUCCCCUCCGGAGGGAAAAGUCCUCGGUUCGACCCCGAGCUGGGUCA
RNAcentral lists this transfer RNA (73 nucleotides) under Tieghemiomyces parasiticus. It matches the Rfam family "tRNA". From Rfam's summary of the family: Transfer RNA (tRNA) molecules are approximately 80 nucleotides in length. Their secondary structure includes four short double-helical elements and three loops (D, anti-codon, and T loops). The record is from Rfam by way of RNAcentral. Lineage: Eukaryota; Fungi; Kickxellomycota; Dimargaritomycetes; Dimargaritales; Dimargaritaceae.